Molecule: long non-coding RNA, 1419 nt
Filed under: Capsella grandiflora
Lineage: Eukaryota; Viridiplantae; Streptophyta; Magnoliopsida; Brassicales; Brassicaceae
Description: long non-coding RNA (CGRA_LNC000504)
Source: RNAcentral
GUGUGUUUUUCUCUUAACCUGGAGGUGGUAAUCAAACCGGGGGACUUAUCUGAUGAGCUCGUCUCAUCACACUUUGGUUGGCGAGGAGGAUAAAAUGGCAAAAUUGUAAAUGAGGCAGAUUCGGGAUUAAUCUGAACCACAGAGUGCAGAUUGGGAUAAUCAAAGAGAAGAACAUGAUAUAGAGAAGACACGUGGCCCAAUGAAAAAGCCACGGGGGCUCUGUAUAGCCAAUUGCAAUCUGAUUUUAGAUUCGCAUCGCACAAAACCUUACUUAUACGAUCACUCUCCCAUAUUCACACUUCCACCAAACACCUCCCUCGUCCACAUCUUUUCUCUCUUUUGGUGGCAAACACACUACGACUCUGAGAGAAACGAUGGCGUCUAACUCGUUAAUGAGCUGCGGCAUCGCCGCCGUGUACCCUUCGCUUCUCUCUUCUUCCAAGUCUAAAUUCGUCUCCGCCGGAGUCCCGCUCCCCAACGCCGGGAACGUUGGCCGUAUCAGAAUGGCUGCUCACUGGAUGCCCGGCGAGCCACGACCAGCUUACCUUGACGGUUCUGCUCCUGGGUACGCCAUUUUUAUAAAUUCGAAUCCUUUUACUCUGUUUCUCACUCAUUUUGCAAUAGGGACCUGUCUCUCCCUGUUACUCAAUUUGUUAGAUUAGAUGUGUAUAAAGAAAAGUUUGGAAUCUCUUUGAUGCAAGAUUGGAGGAUGUUUAAAGCUUCAGUCUUUAAGUUAUUGCGUAUACAUUAUACACCUCUCAUAGAUCGUCUCUUUUUACUCUGUUUAUUGCAGAACUUGGAACCAUGUUUUUUCUGCCUCUGUUUUGGUCACUUUAUUAUAUGUGUGUCUAUAGAGAUUAGAGACAUUCUGAUUUAAAAUUGGAGGCUGCAUAAAAAGAUUCAUGGAUUCAAAGAUAUUGAUUGGGUACAAAAUUGUGCAGUGACUUUGGGUUUGACCCACUUGGACUAGGAGAGGUUCCAGAGAACCUUGAGAGGUACAAAGAAUCAGAGCUCAUCCACUGUAGAUGGGCUAUGCUCGCUGUUGUAAGUUUCACUAUCCAAUCUUUGUCUUAUCAUAAGGGUGUAGUCUUGUUAAGUUUAGUCUAAUGAAAUUGGUGUGUGGUGUGUUGUAGCCUGGGAUUUUGGUACCAGAAGCAUUAGGAUAUGGAAACUGGGUUAAAGCUCAGGAAUGGGCAGCAUUACCAGGGGGUCAAGCCACUUACUUGGGAAACCCUGUCCCGUGGGGUACUUUGCCCACAAUCUUGGCCAUUGAGUUCCUUGCUAUCGCAUUCGUCGAGCACCAGAGAAGUAUGGAGAAAGACCCUGAGAAAAAGAAGUACCCAGGAGGUGCAUUUGACCCCCUCGGAUACUCAAAGGACCCCAAGAAGUUGGAGGAAUUGAAGGUCAAGGAGAUCAAGA